This is a long non-coding RNA of Lemur catta (Ring-tailed lemur), 1058 nucleotides long. RefSeq lists it as uncharacterized. Lineage: Eukaryota; Metazoa; Chordata; Mammalia; Primates; Lemuridae. The record is from RefSeq and is a predicted model, not a curated record. The transcript has 4 exons.
UCCAAAGCCUUUGAGGUGGAGCCGAACCUCCAAGGGAGAUUGCGGCGUUACCUUUACCCUGUGACGUCGGGACACAAGCUGUGGUCUUUCCUUGGGAGAGGGUCCCGUCUGCCUUCUUCUACAGUAAUGGAGAGAACACCAUAGUGAAGGUGCAAAAACUCAGCUGUGGAAGAGUGACAAACUCCAUCAUUUUGCAUAGCUGUGAAAUUGCCUGUCAUUUUGACUGUCUUACAAAGGGAAAUCUGUUGCUGAUAAUGAUUGGCCUGGGCUAAAUCAUCUAAAGAUCCUCGGAUUGCUGCAGGUCAGCAGUCCCCACUGGAGAAAAAGAUCUUGACUCUAGGUGGCGUGCACACAACAGCAGCAAGACAGUUGGUAACUCAGAGAUACCAAGAGGAGUAUGAGACACUCUGUAGGGAGCAAGCCCUUUCUCUUGACUACUGGCUUGCCAAAGCUGAGUCUUAUUAUAAUAAAAGAAUAGUGGAAAUGAUGAAAGAAGAAGAGACAGCUAAUGAAAUCAAGAAGAAAAUGGAGGGGAAAACAACCCAAAGCAUAGAAGGACUAAAACGGUACUAUUUGGUACAUGAGAGAGAGAAGAAACACAUAGAGAGGCAUAUACAUCGAACAGGACAGGCCAGAGAAUUUACGAACAAAACAUUUAAACAAGUACUGCGACCUCUCAGUGAAACAUUACCAAAAAUUAUGCCAGAAGAGCACGGCAUCCACAACACACAGAGAAGAAAACAGGCAAAUGCGAGGGAACAGAUGCAAAUUAAAGAUCAUCAGGAGCGCAUGAUUCGAGGGAGAGAACUUACAGAGCAAAGACUCAAAGAAAGAAUCUUGAGAAAAAGCCAGAGUCAGCUACCUACACAUGAAAAGCGUGAAAGAAUAAAGAAAGAGAUAAAAGAGUUCGAAAGAGUUAUUGCAUAUCCACUUUUCCAACCGCUCAGUAGAAGUCGGAUUAAAGUGAAUAUUCUUAUGGAAAAGUCUCAGAAUGGAGAGGAAGCAAAUACAAUUAUAAAACCAUACCAGAAAAGAUUAUUGGCUGUGCCACCCUUUUU